RNAcentral lists this signal recognition particle RNA (97 nucleotides) under Deltaproteobacteria bacterium. Its description in RNAcentral is "signal recognition particle sRNA small type". It matches the Rfam family "Bacterial small signal recognition particle RNA". From Rfam's summary of the family: The signal recognition particle (SRP) is a universally conserved ribonucleoprotein involved in the co-translational targeting of proteins to membranes. Archaeal SRP consists of a 7S RNA and homologues of the eukaryotic SRP19 and SRP54 proteins. The record is from RNAcentral. Lineage: Bacteria; Pseudomonadati; Myxococcota; Myxococcia.
AGCCGGGCCCCGUGGAACGACGGAUUGUGAACUCCGUCAGAUCCGGGAGGAAGCAGCGGCAGCAAUUUCGGCGUUUGCUACGGGUCCCCCGGCUGUC